ACACAGAGACAGAGGCUGACAAGGGAUGGGGCCGCGUUCCUAGAACACCUGAGGACAGUGGAGCGCCCUGAAGGGAAGGAAAGGGAUCUGGAGCCCCAUUUAUUUCCUUCAUGAAUGUCCAGAGGAGAUCCUUGAAAUGAAGACUGCCACUGGGUGAGCCUAAUCAACUGGUUAAAAUAGCAAGAUAGAAUAAAAACAGAAACUCUUUGAGAGAUUGACAACUAAAAAAUGAUAAGGAAGAGACACCAUAGAUCUCUCUUUCUGCAUGCAUGCACAGAAGAAAGUCCAUAUUAGGACACAGUGAAAAGAUGGCCAUCUACAAGCCAGGAAGAGAGGCCUUAUCAGACACCAACGCUGACAGCACCUGGAUCUUGUACUUCUAGCCUCCAGAACUGAAAUUGUCCUUUUCACCUAAAUUUUUGAAUAUCUUGGCAUGAGAGCCCAAGUAGAGUGCAGAAUCACCUGGGUUCAGACGAUUCUCGUGCCUCAGCCUCCGGAGCAGCUGGGAUUACAGGUAAUUUACAUCGACUGCAUCUGUAUGGUGAAAAUAUAGUAUAAUGGGGUGCUGCUGUGAAUCUCCUUCCAAUUCUGCAUUCUGUGAUAUCAUAGUGGUAACCUGAAAUCCACCAUAGUGGGGACAUUUACACAAUAACUGGCAAAUGCUACAAGGCUGGGCUUUUUCAGUUUUGUUGAUUGUCUGGACAUAAAAAGGUAAUACAGAAAAUGUUACCAAUACAAGCAUUUGGGAAAAAUAAACUAAAACCUUUUGUGAAAAACAACAGGUUUUAUGGAAUUUACAAUAAAUAAUACUGUAUAUUUUAUUAUUUAUAAAUUCUGUGCUACACAUUCUUCAUAUCAGUAAAACUUAGAACAUAUAUAUGUAUCCAUACAUUUUGUUUUCUAGAAAGCCACUGGUUGAACAUUAACCAGCACACUACUGGAGUCUCUACCCACAAAGGUAGUAUAGGUGGGCAAGGAGUCAAUUCUCUGUGAGACUCCUGGGGGAGUCACUGACUUAGUACAUCAAGAGUAGUGCUGUGAUUUUAAAAUAUGUCCACAAAUUCUUUGAUACAUCUCCUAUCUAAAGACAGGCCCUGAUUUUCCUCCCCAUGAAUGUGAGCUGUACCUAACGACUAAUGAAUGUGGUGGAAGUAACCGUGUUAGACUUCUAAGGCUAAUUCAUAAAAGACAGUGUGGGCUCUGUCUUACCCUCUUUUGGACUGCUUACUUUGGGGAAAGCCAGUGGCCAUGCCAUGAGGACACUCGAACAUCUAUGAAGAGGUCCCACAUGGUGUGGAUAAGGACUCCUGCAACGGCCAUUUUGGACCUAGAUUCUCCUGCCCCAGACAGGGCUUCAAAUGACUGGGGUCCCAGCAGACAUCUUGACUGCAACUUCACAGGAGACUCUGGAGCCAGAACCUCUCAGCUAAGCAGCUCCUGCAAUCAUAACACACAGAAACUGUGAUGUAAUGAACGUUUGUUGCUUUAAGUAAGCCCCUAAGGUUUGGAGUAAUUCAUUAGAUGGCAACAGAUAACUAAUAUAAGCAGGGAAGACUCAUUAUCCCCAUUAAACUUCUUGGACUUUUGGGAGUCAAUGAAAUCUAAGACUCUCUCAUAUGGUGCUAUACCAACUUUGUUGAAGGGAGGGUGUCUUCCCAGAGAUCUGUGAAAACCAAACUAUUCAGGAUUAAGAAGUUCAGAAGCCACCAAUACCACUGUU
This 1720-nucleotide long non-coding RNA is filed under the name Homo sapiens (human). RNAcentral's name for it is "non-protein coding NDFIP2-AS1:3". Lineage: Eukaryota; Metazoa; Chordata; Mammalia; Primates; Hominidae. The record is from RNAcentral.